UACGAAGGGGGCUAGCGUUGUUCGGAAUUACUGGGCGUAAAGCGUGCGCAGGCGGUGAUGUAAGACAGAUGUGAAAUCCCCGGGCUCAACCUGGGAACUGCAUUUGUGACUGCAUCGCUGGAGUGCGGCAGAGGGGGAUGGAAUUCCGCGUGUAGCAGUGAAAUGCGUAGAGAUGUGGAGGAACACCGAUGGCGAAGGCAGCCCCCUGGGCUAACACUGACGCUCAUGCACGAAAGCGUGGGGAGCAAACAGG
Molecule: ribosomal RNA, 253 nt
Filed under: uncultured bacterium
Lineage: Bacteria
Description: partial 16S ribosomal RNA
Rfam family: Bacterial small subunit ribosomal RNA
Source: RNAcentral